GAUGAACGCUAGCUACAGGCUUAACACAUGCAAGUCGAGGGGAAACGACAUCGAAAGCUUGCUUUUGAUGGGCGUCGACCGGCGCACGGGUGAGUAACGCGUAUCCAACCUGCCCACCACUUGGGGAUAACCUUGCGAAAGUAAGACUAAUACCCAAUGAUAUCCCACGAAGACAUCUGAAUGGGAUUAAAGAUUUAUCGGUGAUGGAUGGGGAUGCGUCUGAUUAGCUUGUUGGCGGGGUAACGGCCCACCAAGGCAACGAUCAGUAGGGGUUCUGAGAGGAAGGUCCCCCACAUUGGAACUGAGACACGGUCCAAACUCCUACGGGAGGCAGCAGUGAGGAAUAUUGGUAAAUGGGCGAGAGCCUGAACCAGCCAAGUAGCGUGCAGGAAGACGGCCCUAUGGGUUGUAAACUGCUUUUAUAAGGGAAUAAAGUGGGUCACGUGUGACUUUUUGCAUGUACCUUAUGAAUAAGGACCGGCUAAUUCCGUG
This 492-nucleotide ribosomal RNA is filed under the name uncultured bacterium. Its description in RNAcentral is "partial 16S ribosomal RNA". It matches the Rfam family "Bacterial small subunit ribosomal RNA", at positions 28 to 507 of the family's 1533-position model. The record is from RNAcentral.